RNAcentral lists this ribosomal RNA (468 nucleotides) under Terrahaemophilus aromaticivorans. Its description in RNAcentral is "bacterial SSU rRNA". It matches the Rfam family "Bacterial small subunit ribosomal RNA", at positions 30 to 486 of the family's 1533-position model. The record is from RNAcentral. Lineage: Bacteria; Pseudomonadati; Pseudomonadota; Gammaproteobacteria; Pasteurellales; Pasteurellaceae.
AUUGAACGCUGGCGGCAGGCUUAACACAUGCAAGUCGAACGGUAACAUGAAGAAGCUUGCUUCUUUGAUGACGAGUGGCGGACGGGUGAGUAAUGCUUGGGAAUCUAGCUUAUGGAGGGGGAUAACUACGGGAAACUGUAGCUAAUACCGCGUAGAAUCGAGAGAUGAAAGUGUGGGACCUUCGGGCCACAUGCCAUAGGAUGAGCCCAAGUGGGAUUAGGUAGUUGGUGAGGUAAAGGCUCACCAAGCCGACGAUCUCUAGCUGGUCUGAGAGGAUGACCAGCCACACUGGGACUGAGACACGGCCCAGACUCCUACGGGAGGCAGCAGUGGGGAAUAUUGCGCAAUGGGGGCAACCCUGACGCAGCCAUGCCGCGUGAAUGAAGAAGGCCUUCGGGUUGUAAAGUUCUUUCGGUAGCGAGGAAGGCAUUUAGUUUAAUAGACUAAGUGAUUGACGUAACUACAGAA